AGGGCUGGGUAUUGAUCAGAAAUUUCCGAUACGAUACGCAUUGCGAUACAGACCAACGAUACACAAUACGUAUUGACGAUACAGUACAAUGAUGCUUCAUUGUUAGGAUGUACUUAUUAAAAGUACUAUUUACAUUUCAUAGCUGCCCUGGUGAAAUAUUAUUGAAUCUUUCUUAUAUCUGUUUUAGAUUUUGACUUUGUUAAUGAUGAUAUAUAAUACAGAGCAGGUGCAUAGGUACCUUAAUUAGUACAUUUGAGGUAAUAUUUUGAAAAUGACAUGAUGGUCCCUUUUUUAGAUAAAACAAUUAUUUUGAAAAAAAAAUUAAAAAGCUUUGUAGAGAAAUAAUUCAAUGCAAAAAUAUAAUUAUGUAAAUACUACGAAAAGUUAACACAGAAAAUAAUUAAAACAUCACUAUUUAUUAUGACAGGAGUCUAGUACUGUCUACAAGUCAACUGUUCUAAAUUAUAAGAUCUUUAUAAUAAAAUCAAAUUUUUGUAGAAUUUGAAUAUAUACGCUGAGAAAGUAUUGGAACAUUGAAAAUUUUCUAACAAAUCAUGUUUUUUCUAUCUUAAACGGUAAAAUUACAAUAAAAAUAUAAAUAUCAUGUCAUGAUGUUGUGGUGUCGUAAUCCGUAACGUAACGGGAAACGGUGUUUAGCUACAACUUCGCGCAGUCACAUUUAUUUAGUUAGCAAACUACAUCUUGGAAAAUCAAUAAAUUUGUUGGAUUUAUGUGUUCACAAUAGACCCUUCUCAAAUUAUAUGCAUACCUGGAAUUCCAGAACCAGAACCAGGUUUAAAUGGCACGAAUGUAAACACACUGACCACUCUUAUCUCACUAUAUAGCCACGAUGUCGGGUGUUAAUAAAGAAAAGUUCUUAUUAUCAUUUUUGUGUGCCAAUGUGCUAUUCUGAUGGUAAAUAUAAUUUACCAUAUUCCAAAGGAUAAAGAUUAAAAAAACACACAACAAAUUAUGGAUGACUUAACUUUCUAAGAUAAGAAGGGAUAAAAGGUCAUUGUAAAAGGUCACUGAAUCUACUGUGGUGUGUUCCAAACAUUUUAAACUGAGGAUUACAACUGGACUCCACUUAAAAAUGGUUCUAUUCCACCAGUGAUUAAUUUGGUUGAACAAACAACUCCAAUUAAGAAGGCCACUUUUAUGAAAAAUUCUUUCACCAAAGAAAAUGCUCAUUGAUAGCAUUGUCUAUAAUGAAGAUGAAGAAGAUAAUGCAACAAGUACCAAUUGCCAACCAUCUACAUCUUAUGGGUCUACAGAAACACAGGAAGAAAUAUAUAUUUAAAUGCUUCAUGAGGCUUGAACUGGAGGAGACCAAAAAGAUGUAAAGACCCUGCAACUCAGCUGAGUUUGUAUUGAAAUUACAAAGGAACAUGCACACGUUCGCAUUUGUGUCAUUGUUACAUGGAUGCAUGUCAGAUGUUGAGAUCUAAUUGAACUUUUUGAAACUGGUGAUGAUGUGAUGGUUUUUAUAUGUAUAUUUAAAUUGGUUUUCAAUAAAAAAAAGGAUAAUAAAAACAAUAUAAUAUUAGGGAGUAUUAAAGUUUAGUCUUUAUUAAAAUUUUGAAAUAAAUAAGAAAAUUC
Ruditapes philippinarum (Manila clam) is the source of this 1599-nucleotide long non-coding RNA. RefSeq lists it as uncharacterized. The record is from RefSeq and is a predicted model, not a curated record. The transcript has 3 exons. Lineage: Eukaryota; Metazoa; Mollusca; Bivalvia; Venerida; Veneridae.